UACAUAAAAACUCCCCUUCUCUGUAUCUCCCGUUUUUCGGAAAUUGCUUUGAAUUGCUGCUGAAACAUGUGUGGUUAAAUAUCCUUCGUUUACAGAUAGUUGCAUAUUAAAUAAAAACAUACUUAAAUUAGAAUUUUCAAAGCAUGAUAAGAGUAUACAGAUGCAUCAAAGAGUGAAGAAGGCAAUGGAGCAGCAGUAUAAUACAUCCCUGAUAGUGGAGUAAAAACAAGAAAAGAAGUCGCUUCCUUCUCGAAAAAAUUUUUUUAAGGUAUAACCACAUGAAACCUUUACAGGAUUAUUAGUUAGGUCCCUGUGCAUGUAAAAUAACUAGUUACGACAUCUUUUGAGGAGUCAGACAUUUUAGUCCGAAAAAUGUCAAUAAAUUGUCAAAAUGUUAUAUUUAUGUUUUUUUACACAUACCACGCGAUAACUUCGAAACUAAUAAACAUAUACACCUGAGUUUUUUUUUAAUCAAUUGAAGAUAUAUAGGCGGUCAUAAUAGUGCUAAUUCAAGUCCCCUGAUUAGCGUAUUUUUGGACGUUACGUAUGCGCUGCUAAUAUAAGUCGGUUACGUGGAAUACUGUUGUUUUGCGUGUAAUAUGAUUUUUCUGUUGGUUCAUGCGUUCAGUUCAUUACGCGCCUUAAGUUCUUUAAAUUGUGUUUAAUUUAUUUAACAUUUAAAUAAUUGUACAUUGUUUGAUUAUGGAGUGUUUAAUUUGUGAAGAAACUGUAAGCGACAGUGACAAACUGGUAGUUCAAAAUCCUACAAUCCAGGGCUUAAAAACAUUAAUAAGUGCUGCAGAAAAAAGACAAGACAAUUGCGCAAAGAAUAUAUUGGACCAAAAGGAUGAUAUUUUAACAAAGAAAAAACUUGUUAAAUAUCAUUUACAUUGUAGAAAAUCUUACACUAGGCUACAAAAUCUUGAGCAUGCAAAUUGUCGAAAAUGAAGGCAACGAAGCUUGUUCAUCUCAAAGCAGAAUCCACAACAGAGGCUUCGAUAUUCGAAAAAUGUGUCUGCUAUGUAAUAAAACCGGCAAAAAGGGCAAAAAUCAGCUAUACAGACAGGUACAGGAAAGUCCACCUGACACCUACACAAAAAUAUUAGCUGCUGCUACAAAAAAAAAGGAAUGAUAUCAACAUGAUUUCUAAGCUUUCUGGUUAUGAUGAUCUAUUUGCAUACGAUGCAAAAUACCACAAAGUCUGUUAUUGUGGCUAUAUUGCAGAUAGAAAUAUUAGGGCUUCUCAAAAUAAAGACCAGAUCUCUGGUGGAUUGUCCUGAAGAAAAUUAUUCUGCGAGGCCAAUAGAAACUGAUACCGGUAAUAUAGAAAACGAAAUAUUAAUUAUUCAUAAAGCAGCCGGUAUUUAAAAAAAAUACAUGCAUGACUUAAAAUUUUCACACAACUAUUUUCCCAGUCCAGAUGAUAUAAAUCAAGCCGAAUUUCAGAAACAAAUUCCCAAUAUGCUUCUAAAAUGUGUAUUACGGUUGAUAAACGAUGAUUUUUACAAUACUCCAGAUGAUGUCGAAAUGGACACCAAAGCAGUAGUACCGUGUAACAUCGUUAUGGGGCUUUAUAACAAAAAAUAUAAAAGAAAUUAUUUUCAAAUUGGGUUAGGACUUUGCAUUCACCACGUAGUAAGAAGUAAACAAAAAAUCUUAGACUCUCUAUCUGAAAUUGGACUCAGCUGUUCCUAUAAUGACAUAAGGCAAUUAACAACUGCUUUGGCGAAUCAAAAAAUAAAUAAUAACCCAACUUUCCACGUUCCACCUGGAGUUGAAGUUGUAGAUGACGUUAAGGGUAAUUAUAUACAUGCCAGUAUCGAUAACUUCGAUUUGAAUGAAGAAAUUAUAAGUGGAAAAAACACCAUCCACAGCAUGGUAAUGGUUUUGUUUCAAAAAAAAUCCAGCGUCACCACCUUUGUAGAAAAAAUAUUUUUAGAGGAGGGGCUUAUUCACUAGAAACACCCGAAGAACAUGGUUUCAAUUUUCAAAAUAUGUAAAAUACGUAAAACCUGUAAAGCGUCCAGAAUCUGCUCGACAAAAAAAAAUAUUGCAUGGCAACUUAUUCAUAGCAUUAAGUGCGACAAAAUAUUUUUAAAUUGGACCGACUUUAAUAACAUGUUGGCUGAUAACCAAAUUUCUGUUUCCACUAUAUUUUACUUGCCAUUUAUUAAUAACCCUCCUACCGAAUAUGACACGAUAUAUACAUCGAUGGUACGAUUAGCAGAAAUAGCUGACAGUUUAAAGCAAAAUCACAUUUGUAUACCAGCAGAUUUGGCCAUUUAUUCAAAAGCUCGAGAGAUAUUAUGGAAUAAUCAAAGGCAAAGUAACGUUAAUGCUGAGAGGUAUGCAUCUCAAUAUGGCGUUUAUUGCUAGCAUUGGAUAUAUUUUUGAAGAUGGAGGUCUUAUUACCAUUUUAACAGAAACGGACAUUAACGCCCAAAAUACAUGUAAAAUUAUGUUAGACGGAAGGCAGGACUCCAGGGCUAUUCGAGGCCUAACUUUAGUUGUUGAUGCUCUUUUUCGGCUGAUGUUUAAAUCUUUAUGUAAAGAGGAAAAUCCGGGAGCCCAAGUAUUAUCAUCUUUAUUGAAAGAAGACGUUCAGAAUUUGAUAAAAAAAUGUCAAACCAAUAAAUUAAGCAGACGGCAUUUUGAAAAUUUUUUAGAAGAAAUUAAAACUCUGGAACCAAUUAUUUCAGAUUUUAUAACUACUGGCUCACUAAAUUCAAGCACUUUCAAAUAUUGGAAAGAAUUUCAAAAAUCAGUUGAUCUUCUUUGGCGUCUGUUAAGAUCUGAAAGAAAUGGCGAUUUUCAAUCACAUUAAUGUGCAGUACAAGAUACAUUACCUUACUUAUCAGCUGCUGGUAGAAACUUGUAUUUGAAAUGGGUUUCUGUAUAUUUAGCAGAUAUGGAGAACCUAAAAACUGAUGUGCCUUAUAUGUAUGAGUAUUUGAAUAAAGGUAAUUUCGUUGAUGACAACAUUUUUAAUUGUGUGGCGUCAGAUAUGGCUUUAGAAUUGGAAUAAUUGGAUUUUCACAGAAGUCUGCUGCCCUUUUACGUUGGAUUACGACCAGACAUACUUUAGAAGCAUACUCAAAAGCAUUUUUAGAUAUCACUUUCGGUGAAAAUAGCAAAUUGUAUAAUGAAGGGGAAAGAACGGCAUUAAAAAACGAAGAAGCGGUUUUAAAAAUUGUUACAAGUUUAGAAAACGAUUGGUGUAAUCCUUUUGAUUUGGAUAAUGUGCCCUCUCAAUUAAUAAACAUUUGCACUGGAAAAAUCGCAAGGAGCCUUGAAAAUUUUUACGAAAAAGCCAAUGAAAAUGUCACAAAUUUAUUUUGACCAGAAAAGCUUUUGGAAUCCCCUUAAGAGAGAAAAAGUACAAAAUUUUAAAUUUACUUCUGAAAAACAAAAACUAACUCAAAUAAAAAAAUCAUUGGUUCAGAAUGUAUGGUUCGCAGAAUUAAUUGUGCCGCUAAAUUUGAUAUGGAUCUUGAAAAUAUUUUAUCUUAUGAACUAACAUCGGUUCCAUUAUCCUUAUUUCAUGAAGACGAAUCAAUGCGGAAAUCAACAAAAUCUGAUUUAGCCAAAAAAAUUGAAUCCUUUACCACUCCUAUGGAUGCACGUCCCAAUGUAGAUUGGCUAUAUUAUUAACGGUAUGGUUGCAAUUCAAAAAAUACAAGCCACAACAUUAAUUGUUACAUUUAAUGAACUAGGAAAUGUUUUUAUAAACAAAAUUUUAAGGGAUGGAAGAAAAUAUAACUCAAAACGAAUUACUGUUGUUUUUGAUACGUAUAAAAGUAAUUCUCUGAAAAAUGCUGAAAGACUUAAACGUGGAAAUUUCAGUGCAGACUUUAAAGUUGCUGGUACUAGAAAAGUGCCCCAAUUCAGGGAAUUUAUUCGAUCCUCGUCAAACAAAAAAUCAUUGUUACUAUUUCUUACCAACUACUUUAUAAACGAAGUAGGAAAUUUACUUAGCGAAGACGAAACUGUAAUCAUAGCAGGAGUGUUUGAACUUUGUUAUCAGCUUAAUAAAAGUGAAAUACCAAGAAAAUUUGAUUAUUUAACUAGCAAUCAAGAGGAAGCUGACACAAGAAUAAUUCUUCAUGUUUUGGCAGAAAAAAAUAUUGGCAAUAUUAUUCUUGUAAAAUCCGUUAAGGCUCCGCUACCUAUCUUCUAGCCACACAGCUGAGGGGCAGCGGUGAGAGACGCGGUAGUAAUAAAUGUUUAUUUUAGAACGGUUGAUAAAAUUUCAGUCAUCCUCUUACGCCGGGAUCCGAUGUAAUUUCAGGGUUGGCCUACAUAAAUUUGGUGCAGGUUAUGGAAGUAUAAUUAUAUACCUGCAUUACUACCUAAUAUUGCUAUUAUAUAUGCAUUUUGGGUUUUUUUUUGUUUAGUGCGUGGUAGUUCCGGGAUGUAGCUGUGUGGUUUCGUUGCGAUCAUUUUUUGCAUUUUAUUUUGGUGAUUACAUACUGAAAAACUGAAGUGUUCCUGUGUUUGCACUAGUAUUUUUUUAAAAUUGAAUUAGCGGUUUAUAGUUUUUCACGAAAUCAAAAAUGUAAUUUUCAGGUCCUUUUUAUUGGCAUAAAAAACAAAUAUUGUACAAUUUGCCAACUCUCAAAAAAUCAAGGACACAAUCAGAUGCCUAAAAGGCAUAAAUGCUUUAAAAACUUUGAAGGUUCUUCAACGAGCAUGGAAGGCGAUAUUUUAAAAGAAGGAUUUCUCCAUAGUUUAGAGCAACAUGGAUUAAUCUACCAUAAAUUAAUAGCUGACGGAGACUGCAAUUCUCUGAAAAAAAUGUUAGAUGCUCAUCCAUAUAAAAAUGUCAUUGUGAAAAAAAUUGAGUGCAGAAAUCACCUUCUACGAAAUUACUCCCGGAAAAUUCGGGAUUUAGGUAAAGACGUCAAUGCUGGGCCAUUAGUUCUUCGGAAGCAAAUAAGUAAAGAACAGCUAAGAUUACGAUAUGCAGUUACAAAAACUAUCGAACAUAGAAAAAAUGAGGGUGUUCCGAUGAGAAAAAAUAAAGUUGUUAAAACAAGACAUAGACAAUUCUAUUAGCCACGUUUUUGGAGAACACAAACUUUGUGCAGAAUUGGGAUAUUUCUGUCAUGAGCAAUAUAAACCCAGUGGUAGCAUAUUAUCAGACUUAAAAAUGACAGACCUAUAUGACAAAUUAUAUAGCUUUGUCAGCUAUCUUUCAAGAAAUAGCGUGAGUUUAAUACAAGAUGUUGACAAUAAUGUAUCGGAGCAAUUUAACUCAAUCAUUGCAAAAUUUAUUGGCGGAAAACGCAUUAAUUAUUGCCAACGAGGAUCAUAUCAGGCUCGCUGUUUAGCUUCUGUAAUUUCUCAUAAUACUAAAAAGCCUAUAUACACGAUUAAAAAAUUCCUUAAUCAUAAAAGCCCGAUUGGCUUAGUUAAAAACAGGGAAUUAAAGAAAAAAUAUAUUAAACGGAAAAGAUUAUUCCAGACCAAAGAGAAUUCUGGACUUGAUAGCAGUUACGGUGAUCAAUGUCAAAAGCCUGAUCUAACACCUGAGGAGUUGCAAAAAGAAAAAGAAGAUUUUCUAGCUAGUAUUAAAAAAAAUGCAGAAGAAAUCAAAUUAAUUGAAGAGCUCACAAAGAAACAGGACCAAUCUGAUUUGUGGCACUUAGAGCGAAGAAAGCGUCUUACGGCAUCAAAUUACUAUGCAAUUUGCUCUAAAUCUAGUGCCAGAAGCAACGGUGAUACAAAAAAGCUCGUGGAACAACUUUGUACCCAAAAACAAUUCAUUCUGCUAGCAUUGAGUGGGGCAAACAAAAUGAAAAACGGGCAAUCAAUGUUUUAGAAACAUUAAUUGAUGAGAAGAUAUUACCAUGUGGCUUAUUUGUAAGCGAAAAUAUUUCAUUCUUGGCAGCGACUCCCGAUGGCCUUAUUGGGAAGAAGGGGAUUGUUGAAAUCAAAUGCCCCUUUAGUGCUAAAAAUCUCACUCCUGAAGAUGCGAUAAUGCAAAGAAAAAUAUCAUUUUGGAAGAAAAACGGAGAAAUUAAUAAAAACCACAAAUGGUUUUACCAAAUACAAGGCCAAUUGUUGGUAACUGGGAGAUCCUACUGCUGCUUUGCAGUUUGGACACCUUUGGGCAUUAAGAAGGAAAUUAUUUUAAAAAACGAUGUAUUCUGCGAAAACAUGAAAAAGAAAUUAACUAUAUUCUAUUCGAUAUGUUAUUUACCUGAGCUUGUAGAUCCUCGCAAAAAUAGAAAUAUGCAUGUUAGAAAUAUUUCCCUAAAAGAAUAUACGAUCGCAUAAGUUUUUUUUUAUAUGUAGCCAACUUUGUAUAUUUUGUAAUAAAUGUCUUGUUUUGUUUGA
RNAcentral lists this long non-coding RNA (6339 nucleotides) under Anthonomus grandis grandis. RNAcentral's name for it is "uncharacterized LOC126746748". Lineage: Eukaryota; Metazoa; Arthropoda; Insecta; Coleoptera; Curculionidae. The record is from RNAcentral.